AGACGUUUUUUUAACCCGGGUAACAGGUGAGGACGGGUCAUAAACGCUCGGGGUCAUUGACAGAUCCAGAGGUAGAGGCAAACUCUGUCUCGCUAGCUGGAGUUCUUCAUACUGCUGCAUGUUACCCAGGAGCCAAGUGUGGGUUGAGGAGCUCUCCAAGUGCCGGCCGGCCAAUCACGCUCACAGACCUGCCGGGUCCCACAGACCACUGCAGCAAACGCAGCAGACGACUCCAGCAACAAACGGCAGAGGAAACAGGAAACAGCUGAAGGAGUUCUGUACCGCUAUUCUGUUAAUGCUAAUGCUGAAACAUUUUAACUUAAAUAAAGAGACAGCUGAUG
Micropterus salmoides (largemouth bass) is the source of this 341-nucleotide long non-coding RNA. RefSeq lists it as uncharacterized. The transcript is spliced from 2 exons. Lineage: Eukaryota; Metazoa; Chordata; Actinopteri; Centrarchiformes; Centrarchidae. The record is from RefSeq and is a predicted model, not a curated record.